Molecule: ribosomal RNA, 647 nt
Filed under: uncultured bacterium
Lineage: Bacteria
Description: bacterial SSU rRNA
Rfam family: Bacterial small subunit ribosomal RNA
Source: RNAcentral
GGAGGGCAUCCUCUUGGGAUUAAAGGAGCGAUCCGGCUGCGGAUGGUCAUGCGGCGCAUUAGCUUGUUGGCGGGGUAACGGCCCACCAAGGCGACGAUGCGUAGGGGUUCUGAGAGGAAGGUCCCCCACACAGGUACUGAGACACGGACCAGACUCCUACGGGAGGCAGCAGUGAGGAAUAUUGGUCAAUGGCCGGGAGGCUGAACCAGCCAAGUCGCGUGAGGGAAGACGGCCCUACGGGUUGUAAACCUCUUUUGCCGGGGAGCAAAUGGCGGGACGCGUCCCGCGUCGAGAGUACCCGGAGAAAAAGCAUCGGCUAACUCCGUGCCAGCAGCCGCGGUAAUACGGAGGAUGCGAGCGUUAUCCGGAUUUAUUGGGUUUAAAGGGUGCGCAGGCGGGAUGUCAAGUCAGCGGUAAAAUCGGGAGGCUCAACCUCUCUCAGCCGUUGAAACUGGCGUUCUUGAGUGGGCGAGAAGUAUGCGGAAUGCGUGGUGUAGCGGUGAAAUGCAUAGAUAUCACGCAGAACCCCGAUUGCGAAGGCAGCAUACCGGCGCCCGACUGACGCUCAUGCACGAAAGCGUGGGUAUCGAACAGGAUUAGAUACCCUGGUAGUCCACGCAGUAAACGAUGAAUACUCGCUGUGCGGC